RNAcentral lists this long non-coding RNA (1243 nucleotides) under Phasianus colchicus (ring-necked pheasant). RNAcentral's name for it is "lncRNA (ENSPCLG00000004934.1)". Lineage: Eukaryota; Metazoa; Chordata; Aves; Galliformes; Phasianidae. The record is from RNAcentral.
AUUGUCUACAUCAUUCAACUUUAUUCUGUUGAAUGGUGUAGGGGGGGGGGGUGGGAAUAGGAGACAGUGUUUUUAUCACUCUGUUUCCAAACUGGAUAAAUCAUCCUAUUUACCAGACAUAACAGAUCCUUCUUCUGUUCCAGCUCUUUCUGAAGUUGUUUUUCCUCUAGAGAGGGAGAAUUGUAGCCCCAAACUUCAUACAGAAGGAUCCAGGGUAUUCAAGACCUCAAGGGUCAUUCAGACCCCAGCUAAGACAGACCAUCACUCUAGCAUAUGAGGAUUGUGUUCAAAAUCAAUCAAAUCUAGGGCUUUGUGGAUCUUGGGAGGGGUACAGAAGUGGCAAUUCCAGUUCAAUGAAGGACCCUACACUGUUGAUGAAAUAUCAUUAUUCCUCUUCGCAUCUUUCCAGUCAUUUUCAUCACGACUUGUACUGAUUUCGUGCCUGGAUGGGAUUGAAAGCUGUAUUCUCUCCACCACUGUGACCAAAACAUUUCUCCAUAAGCUGAUCAAGUUGAUGUGCUGGCAGGGGAAUAAAGGAAACUUCAGAUCUGAGCAGCUGGAAGGGGCCGUCAAAAAGUCACUGCUGUCAACUACCCAUGGAAAAAUGCCCACUCCCAUCAGAGCAUCCCCACCGCAGCUGGUCAGAGCCAGCUGACACUGAAGACAUCGUCUCCAAAAAGGAUGGUUCAAGAAGGAAGCUGAGGAGCUCAGACAUCAAGAAAAGCCACCAUGGGUGAUUUUAUUUGUUCUGACGUGUCAAAAUCCAGUAAGUCUUUUUGUUCAAUUUUAAGCAGAAACGUCGUAGAUGUUGACUGAGUAACUUUGCAGACAAACUUGCAUCUUCACUGAACCAGAAGGUUUCUCUUAUUCACACCAAUAUGGACACACCAGGAACACUGUAAGAAACUGCAUUUAGGAGAAGGUUCCAUUGAGCAAACUCAAUGUGCACUUAGUUCACAUAAACCCUGGAGAGCCAACCAGUGAGACCUCAAAGUCCAAUGUAAUUUGCAGGCUCAUGUAUCCCAAACUUCACUGCUCUCUUUCAAAUGGAAAAAAAUGAGGCAAAAUGAUCUGCUGUGGUUCCAGAAUCGGUGUACAGUCUUUGCCAUGGUGUGAAGAUCUUGUUUGGUUCUUGGAAGUAAAUGUACAUUCUAAUGUGUUGUUUAAUCUGUGCAGAGGUAUCUAAAUGCUUAAGAAAUGAGGUGGACGUCAUCCAAGUGUAAUUUGAGGGGAGCCGGUGGGA